CGGACACAAAUGGCCAGACUCAAAGGCGU
This 29-nucleotide small RNA is filed under the name Bombyx mori (domestic silkworm). RNAcentral's name for it is "ovarian small RNA-14443". Lineage: Eukaryota; Metazoa; Arthropoda; Insecta; Lepidoptera; Bombycidae. The record is from RNAcentral.